Molecule: ribosomal RNA, 253 nt
Filed under: uncultured bacterium
Lineage: Bacteria
Description: partial 16S ribosomal RNA
Rfam family: Bacterial small subunit ribosomal RNA
Source: RNAcentral
UACGGAGGGUGCAAGCGUUAUCCGGAUUCACUGGGUUGAAAGGGUGCGUAGGCGGGCAGGUAAGUCCGUGGUGAAAUCUCUGAGCUUAGCUCAGAAACUGCCAUGGAUACUAUUUGUCUUGAAUAUUGUGGAGGUGAGCGGAAUAUGUCAUGUAGCGGUGAAAUGCUUAGAUAUGACAUAGAACACCAAUUGCGAAGGCAGCUCACUACACAGUCAUUGACGCUGAGGCACGAAAGCGUGGGGAUCAAACAGG